AACGAACGCUGGCGGCAUGCCUAACACAUGCAAGUCGAACGAGACCUUCGGGUCUUGUGGCGCACGGGUGCGUAACGCGUGGGAACUUGCCCUUAGGUUCGGAAUAACUCCCCGACAGGGGUGCUACUCCCGGACCAUGUCUUCGGCCCAAAGGUUUAUCGUCUUUGGAUGGGCCCGCGUUAGAUUAGCUAGUUGGUAGUGUAAAAGCCUACCAAGGCGACGACCCAUAGCUGGUCUGAGAGGAUGAUCAGCGACACUGGGACUGAGACACGGCCCAGACUCCUACGGGAGGGAGCGGUGGGGAAUAUUGGACAAUGGGCGAAAGCCUGAUCCAGCAAUGCCGCGUGAGUGAUGAAGGCCUUAGGGUUGUAAAGCUCUUUUACCCGGGAUGAUAAUGACAGUACCGGGAGAAUAAGCUCCGGCUAACUCCGUG
This 433-nucleotide ribosomal RNA is filed under the name uncultured bacterium. RNAcentral's name for it is "partial 16S ribosomal RNA". It matches the Rfam family "Bacterial small subunit ribosomal RNA", at positions 29 to 507 of the family's 1533-position model. The record is from RNAcentral.